Molecule: ribosomal RNA, 254 nt
Filed under: uncultured bacterium
Lineage: Bacteria
Description: partial 16S ribosomal RNA
Rfam family: Bacterial small subunit ribosomal RNA
Source: RNAcentral
GACAGAGGGUGCAAACGUUGUUCGGAUUUACUGGGCGUAAAGGGCGCGUAGGCGGCCAGCACAAGUCAGUUGUGAAAUCUCCGGGCUUAACUCGGAAAGGUCAACUGAUACUGUGCGGCUAGAGUGCAGAAGGGGCAACUGGAAUUCUCGGUGUAGCGGUGAAAUGCGUAGAUAUCGAGAGGAACACCUGCGGCGAAGGCGGGUUGCUGGGCUGACACUGACGCUGAUGCGCGAAAGCCAGGGGAGCGAACGGG